UGGGGAAUUUUGGACAAUGGACGCAAGUCUGAUCCAGCCAUGCCGCGUGCGGGAAGAAGGCCUUCGGGUUGUAAACCGCUUUUGUCAGGGAAGAAACGAGUUUCUCUAAUACAGAGACUUAAUGACGGUACCUGAAGAAUAAGCACCGGCUAACUACGUGCCAGCAGCCGCGGUAAUACGUAGGGUGCGAGCGUUAAUCGGAAUUACUGGGCGUAAAGCGUGCGCAGGCGGUUAUAUAAGACAGAUGUGAAAUCCCCGGGCUCAACCUGGGAACUGCCUUUGUGACUGCAUAGCUAGAGUACGGUAGAGGGGGAUGGAAUUCCGCGUGUAGCAGUGAAAUGCGUAGAUAUGCGGAGGAACACCGAUGGCGAAGGCAAUCCCCUGGACCUGUACUGACGCUCAUGCACGAAGGCGUGGGGAGCAAACA
Molecule: ribosomal RNA, 427 nt
Filed under: uncultured bacterium
Lineage: Bacteria
Description: bacterial SSU rRNA
Rfam family: Bacterial small subunit ribosomal RNA
Source: RNAcentral